CCAAAACAUCUGGGCUCCUUCAGAUAACAUCAGACUAUUGGCCAAAGAAAUGAACCCCUGCAGAAUUAAGGAUGGCUUUGGCACCCACCUGUCUGAGUUCUGUAUACUCUAACCCGUGACUAUGACCAAAAAUAAAUUUUCUUCUCUAUUUGUAAGCUCUCUCCUCCUUACAAUUGUUAGCUAAGGCUUGAGGACAAUAGCCAUUUUCUGAUCAAUUAGAUUAUCCAAUAAAGUUUUUUCUCUGCAACCACCUUGCCUUUCAACCAACUGGCUUCCGUCUUGCAGUGAGAAGCCUGCACCUUUGCAUGAUAAUAAAACCACUAUGCCUUUUCAAAUCUCCUGGCUGAGCAUCCUCCACACUCCCCUGAACUCUCACAGAGGUUCCCCAUGUUCCAUUGUUCCAGGGGAGUUGUUCAUACAUUAAACACUUCUUCCUAAAACCUGUCUAUACUUUCAUCUUAGUUACUCUCUCCAAAUAAUCUAAUUCCUCUUCCACCUGACAAUUUAAAAAAAAAAUGGGGAUUGCCAGGGGUGUUUUACCACUGAGCUACACCCCCAGCUCUUUUUCUUUUUUUUUCAUUUUGAGACAGGUGCUCACCAAAUUUCUUAAGACCUUGCUAAAUUGCUGAGGCUAGCCUCGAACUUUUGAUUGGCUUAUUUUGCUUAGCAUAAUAUUCUCCAACUCCAUCCACUUACCAUAAAAAAUGCAAAUGACAUAAUUUCAUUCUUCUUUAAGGCUAAGUAAUAUUCCAUUGUGUCUUCAUCCUAAUAGUGACACGGAUUUGGGUGUAACGGGUUGGGAAUUGUUCAGCCCAACUCCUACCUUAUUUGGCAAAGAACAUUCCAUGGAAAACUUUUGAUGUCCCCCCAUAUACAUAAAGCAAGUGUAGGCUCCAUCGCUCUCUCCUUCCAGUGUGGGACCUCCAUCCCUCAGAUCGAAGAGUUGCCUCACCCCCACUUUUCAAAAUUACUUCCCGUGUACUGUGGGUUUUUUGCCAUUUUCUCUUUAUUAGCUUUUACUCCACAGUCAGCCCACUCCACAAAGAGGGACCCCAAUUCCAUCGCCUGCAUGAGAUUUAGAAAAAAAUUCCAGUGACUUAGUAUUGGGGAUAACUACAACUUAGAAACUGGUAAAAACUCUGUGACUGUGUACCAGAAAUGAUUAUUCUGCUAUUUUUGAUGAUGAGGUGGCCAAUUAUCUAAAUAUACUAAUAUAUUUAUAUCCUAAAAUAAUGCUUAAGGAGUAAUAGGUAAAAUUUAUUUUACCUCAAUAAAAGAUGUUUAUUUUUAGAAAAAAAAAUCUUUUAAAAAGUCUUUUUUAAAAAAAUAUUUAUUGAGGGGGAUCCAACACGGCGGCGAGAGGGGAGGCAGCGCUUUCAGUACCUUCUCAACAACGGGGUCAGAGAGAUUCGACCUGCUGAGAAACUCCUAGCAAAAUUCCACUAAAGAGAGACCGGCCGGGAAUCGGUAGGAUUUUUGGAGGUGAC
Molecule: long non-coding RNA, 1487 nt
Filed under: Marmota monax (woodchuck)
Lineage: Eukaryota; Metazoa; Chordata; Mammalia; Rodentia; Sciuridae
Source: RNAcentral